CCUACGGGUGGCAGCAGUGAGGAAUAUUGGUCAAUGGGCGCGAGCCUGAACCAGCCAAGUCGCGUGAGGGAAGACGGCCCUACGGGUUGUAAACCUCUUUUGCCGGGGAGCAACGGGCGCCACGUGUGGCGCCACUGAGAGUACCCGGAGAAAAAGCAUCGGAGAACUCCGUGCCAGCAGCCGCGGUAAUACGGAGGAUGCGAGCGUUAUCCGGAUUUAUUGGGUUUAAAGGUUGCGUAGGCGGAGCGUUAAGUCAGUGGUAAAAUUGAGGGGCUCAACCCCUUCCCGGCAUUGAAACUGGCGCUCUUGAGUGGAAGAGAAGUAUGCGGAAGGCGUGGUGUAGCGGUGAAAUGCAUAGAUAUCACGCAGAACCCCGAUUGCGAAGGCAGCAUGCCGGCUUCCUACUGACGCUGAAGCACGAAAGCGUGGGGAUCGAACAGGAUUAGAUACCCGGGUAGUC
This 460-nucleotide ribosomal RNA is filed under the name uncultured bacterium. RNAcentral's name for it is "partial 16S ribosomal RNA". It matches the Rfam family "Bacterial small subunit ribosomal RNA", at positions 338 to 795 of the family's 1533-position model. The record is from RNAcentral.